AUACGUAGGUGACAAGCGUUAUCCGGAUUUACUGGGCGUAAAGGGCGUGUAGGAGGCCUUGCAAGUCAGAAGUGAAAUUCCUGAGCUCAACUCGGGCGCUGCUUCUGAAACUGCAGGACUUGAGUGCUGGAGGGGAUAGCGGAAUUCCUAGUGGAGCGGUAAAAUGCGCAGAUAUUAGGAAGAACACCGGUGGCGAAGGCGGCUAUCUGGACAGUAACUGACGCUGAGGCGCGAAAGCGUGGGGAGCAAACAGGAUUAGAUACCCUGGUAGUCCACACUGUAAACGAUGAAUGCCAGGUGUAGGGGGUAUCGACCCCUUCUGUGCCGCAGUCAACACAAUAAGCAUUCCGCCUGGGGAGUACGGCCGCAAGGUUGAAACUCAAAUGAAUUGACGGGG
This 397-nucleotide ribosomal RNA is filed under the name uncultured bacterium. RNAcentral describes it as "partial 16S ribosomal RNA". It matches the Rfam family "Bacterial small subunit ribosomal RNA", at positions 523 to 918 of the family's 1533-position model. The record is from RNAcentral.